CCUACGGGAGGCUGCAGUGGGGAAUAUUGGACAAUGGGGGGAACUCUGAUCCAGCGACGCCGCGUGAGUGAAGAAGUAUUUCGGUAUGUAAAGCUCUAUCAGCAGGGAAGAAAAUGACGGUACCUGACUAAGAAGCCACGGAUAACAACGUGCCAGCAGGCGAGGGCACACGGAGGGGGCAAGCGUUAUCCGGAUUUACUGGGUGUAAAGGGAGCGUAGACGGUGCAGCAAGUCUGAUGUGAAAGGUCGGGGCCCAACCCCGGGACUGCAUUGGAAACUGGUGAACUUGAGUACAGGAGAGGUAAGCGGAAUUCCUAGUGUAGCGGUGAAAUGCAUAGAUAUUAGGAGGAACACCAGUGGCGAAGGCAGCUUACUGGACUUUAACUGACGUUGAGGCUCGAAAGCGUGGGGAGCGAACAGGAUUAGAUACCCGUGUAGUC
RNAcentral lists this ribosomal RNA (440 nucleotides) under uncultured bacterium. RNAcentral's name for it is "partial 16S ribosomal RNA". It matches the Rfam family "Bacterial small subunit ribosomal RNA", at positions 338 to 795 of the family's 1533-position model. The record is from RNAcentral.